RNAcentral lists this ribosomal RNA (484 nucleotides) under uncultured bacterium. RNAcentral describes it as "partial 16S ribosomal RNA". It matches the Rfam family "Bacterial small subunit ribosomal RNA", at positions 28 to 507 of the family's 1533-position model. The record is from RNAcentral.
AUUGAACGCUGGCGGCAUGCUUUACACAUGCAAGUCGAACGGCAGCGCGGGCUUCGGCCUGGCGGCGAGUGGCGAACGGGUGAGUAAUGCAUCGGAACGUGCCCAGUAGUGGGGGAUAGCCCGGCGAAAGCCGGAUUAAUACCGCAUACGACCUGAGGGUGAAAGCGGGGGACCGAAAGGCCUCGCGCUAUUGGAGCGGCCGAUGUCGGAUUAGCUAGUUGGUGGGGUAAAGGCUUACCAAGGCGACGAUCCGUAGCUGGUCUGAGAGGACGACCAGCCACACUGGGACUGAGACACGGCCCAGACUCCUACGGGAGGCAGCAGUGGGGAAUUUUGGACGAUGGGGGCAACCCUGAUCCAGCCAUGCCGCGUGCGGGAAGAAGGCCUUCGGGUUGUAAACCGCUUUUGUUCGGGAAGAAAUCCUCUGGGCUAAUACCCCGGGGGGAUGACGGUACCGGAAGAAUAAGCACCGGCUAACUACGUG